RNAcentral lists this ribosomal RNA (97 nucleotides) under Ligilactobacillus murinus. Its description in RNAcentral is "Lactobacillus murinus partial 16S ribosomal RNA". It matches the Rfam family "Bacterial small subunit ribosomal RNA", at positions 1437 to 1533 of the family's 1533-position model. The record is from RNAcentral. Lineage: Bacteria; Bacillati; Bacillota; Bacilli; Lactobacillales; Lactobacillaceae.
AACCUUUUGGAGCCAGCCGUCUAAGGUGGGACAGAUGAUUAGGGUGAAGUCGUAACAAGGUAGCCGUAGGAGAACCUGCGGCUGGAUCACCUCCUUU